RNAcentral lists this ribosomal RNA (496 nucleotides) under uncultured bacterium. RNAcentral describes it as "partial 16S ribosomal RNA". It matches the Rfam family "Bacterial small subunit ribosomal RNA", at positions 29 to 507 of the family's 1533-position model. The record is from RNAcentral.
AUGCACGCUGGCGGCGUGCCUAAUACCUGCAAGUCGAGCGAACAGACGAGGAGCUUGCUCCUCUGACGUUAGCGGCGGACGGGUGAGUAACACGUGGAUAACCUACCUGUAAGACUGGGAUAACUUCGGGAAACCGGAGCUAAUACCGGAUAAUAUAUUGAACCGCAUGGUUCAAUAGUGAAAGACGGUUUUGCUGUCACUUAUAGAUGGAUCCGCGCCGCAUUAGCUAGUUGGUAAGGUAACGGCUUACCAAGGCGACGAUGCGUAGCCGACCUGAGAGGGUGAUCGGCCACACUGGAACUGAGACACGGUCCAGACUCCUACGGGAGGCAGCAGUAGGGAAUCUUCCGCAAUGGGCGAAAGCCUGACGGAGCAACGCCGCGUGAGUGAUGAAGGUCUUCGGAUCGUAAAACUCUGUUAUUAGGGAAGAACAAAUGUGUAAGUAACUAUGCACGUCUUGACGGUACCUAAUCAGAAAGCCACGGCUAACUACGUG